RNAcentral lists this small RNA (79 nucleotides) under Kosakonia cowanii. RNAcentral describes it as "RybB RNA". It matches the Rfam family "RybB RNA". Rfam says of the family: This ncRNA was identified in a large scale screen of E. coli. The function of this short RNA is unknown. The exact 5' and 3' ends of this RNA are uncertain. RNAcentral also lists the same sequence under 1 other name. Lineage: Bacteria; Pseudomonadati; Pseudomonadota; Gammaproteobacteria; Enterobacterales; Enterobacteriaceae. The record is from RNAcentral.
ACUGCUUUUCUUUGAUGUCCCCCGAUUGUGGAGCCCAUCAACCCCGCCGCUUAGGUUCAAGGUUGAUGGGUUUUUUGUU